Echinops telfairi (small Madagascar hedgehog) is the source of this 121-nucleotide small nucleolar RNA. NCBI's taxonomy places the organism in Eukaryota, Metazoa, Chordata, Mammalia, Afrosoricida, Tenrecidae. The record is from Ensembl.
GGCCUCCAGUUCCCUUAUCCAUUAGAACAAAACACUGGUGUGGGUGGUCUUAAAAGGAGGAAAAGACACAUUGAAGCUGCCCCUUCAGUGAUCUUGGAGCUCGGGCUAGUCUUAAAUUGGG